CAGAGGGUGCGAGCGUUGUCCGGAAUCACUGGGCGUAAAGGGCGCGUAGGUGGCGACCCAAGUCGAUGGUGAAAGCUCGCCGCUCAACGGCGAGUCGGCCACCAAUACUGGGUUGCUCGAGCACUGUAGAGGCUAAUGGAAUUCCGGGUGUAGCGGUGGAAUGCGUAGAGAUCCGGAAGAACACCGGUGGCGAAGGCGGUUAGCUGGGCAGUUGCUGACACUGAGGCGCGACAGCGUGGGGAGCAAACAGGAUUAGAUACCCUGGUAGUCCACGCCGUAAACGAUGGGCACUAGAUGCUUGGGGGAGCGACCCCCUGAGUGUCGCCGCUAACGCAGUAAGUGCCCCGCCUGGGGAGUACGGCCGCAAGGCUG
RNAcentral lists this ribosomal RNA (372 nucleotides) under uncultured organism. RNAcentral's name for it is "bacterial SSU rRNA". It matches the Rfam family "Bacterial small subunit ribosomal RNA", at positions 526 to 896 of the family's 1533-position model. The record is from RNAcentral.